UACGGGGGGGGCAAGCGUUGUUCGGAAUUACUGGGCGUAAAGGGCUCGUAGGCGGCCAACUAAGUCAAACGUGAAAUCCCUCGGCUUAACCGGGGAGCUGCGCUUGAUACUGGAUGGCUUGAGAUUGGGAGAGGGAUGCGGAAUUCCAGGUGUAGCGGUGAAAUGCGUAGAUAUCUGGAGGAAUACCGGUGGCGAAGGCGGCAUCCUGGACCGGCAUUGACGCUGAGUGAGCGAAAGCCAGGGGAGCAAACGGG
RNAcentral lists this ribosomal RNA (254 nucleotides) under uncultured bacterium. Its description in RNAcentral is "partial 16S ribosomal RNA". It matches the Rfam family "Bacterial small subunit ribosomal RNA", at positions 524 to 776 of the family's 1533-position model. The record is from RNAcentral.